AUGACGUAGCGGGGACGGGGAGUAACACGUGGGCAACCUGCCUGUAAGACUGGGAUACUCCGGGAAACCGAGCUAAUACCGAUAACAUUUGCAUAAGAGAAAAUUGAAAGAUGGUUUCGGCUAUCACUUCAGAUGGGCCCCGGUGCAUUAGCUAGUUGGUGAGGUAACGGCUCACCAAGGCAACGAUGCAUAGCCGACCUGAGAGGGUGAUCUGCCACUUUGGGACUGAUACUCUGUCUUGAUUCCUACGGGAGG
This 255-nucleotide ribosomal RNA is filed under the name Priestia flexa. RNAcentral describes it as "Bacillus flexus partial 16S ribosomal RNA". It matches the Rfam family "Bacterial small subunit ribosomal RNA", at positions 87 to 348 of the family's 1533-position model. Lineage: Bacteria; Bacillati; Bacillota; Bacilli; Caryophanales; Bacillaceae. The record is from RNAcentral.